Molecule: non-coding RNA, 28 nt
Filed under: Rattus norvegicus (Norway rat)
Lineage: Eukaryota; Metazoa; Chordata; Mammalia; Rodentia; Muridae
Source: RNAcentral
UACUGUGGACAUUGCCAAUGACUGCCUU